RNAcentral lists this long non-coding RNA (3474 nucleotides) under Sus scrofa (pig). RNAcentral describes it as "lncRNA (ENSSSCG00000054979.1)". The record is from RNAcentral. Lineage: Eukaryota; Metazoa; Chordata; Mammalia; Artiodactyla; Suidae.
UUUUUUUUUUUUUUUUUGUAUAGCGCAAAGAACGACACUCAAUAUCCUUUGAUAAACCACAAAGGAAAAGAACAUGAAAAAGAAUUCAUGUAUGUAUAACUGAAUCACGCAGCACAUCAGAAGCUGUUACAACCACACAAACCAGCUCCCUGCCCUGGCACAGCACCUCCAGAGGCACACAGUGUCCCCAGGUCAUCCCAUCUUGUAUCCAGCCGGGAGUGAGUUUCCACUGUUAUUUCUUCUCCCUCAUUGCCUUUUAUACUCUCUUCCAAUUUACACUCAUCUUGCCCUGCCUUUCAAGUGGGUCACAUACUUUCCCGCCUUAGGACCUUUGCACCAAUGAUUCCCUUCCCUUGCAAACUCCUUUCUGGAAACACAAGGCAAGCUCCCUUUGGUAUAUGGACAUGAAAUCAUAUGUCACGUUCUUCGAACUAGUUCUGGCAUCUAUUCCAAGGUUGGAUCACUCUUGAUCAUGUCACCCUGCCUUAGUUUCUUGUACAUUCAUUUGUUUGUUUCCUUAUUUGCUGUUGGUGUUCUUUGUCUCUUUCUCUAAUAUAAAGCCUAGGAGGUCAACGACCUUUUUUCUCUUAUUUGUCUAGGACACUGAUGGGGGCUCAAAAAUGUAAUUCUGAUUGAAUGUUUGGGAGCAGUUAACACACAUACAUUUCAAAUUACCCAGAAAAGAUGUGAAGGAGGGACAAAAGAAAGCAUAUGGACUUGGAUACAGAUGAUCUGAAUUUAAAUCUGGGUUCUACCACUCAGAGCAUUGAUGAGAAACUGUGGGGGGAUUUCUAUGCUUCAUGCCUCAGCACUUCUGUCUAUUAACUGAGAUCACAAUCUUUCAUAUUUUAUAGGUUUCUGAGAGGAUUACAUUGAAGAAUGCAUGUAAAAUGCCCAGCAAAAUCAUAGGACUAGGCAGUUGUACCCUAGCAAUAGUAGCCGUUAUUUAAUUUAGAACAAAAUGAAUAGUGUUAUUAGGGUAAGAAGCUGAAUAAUUUACAAAGAAACCUAAGAAUACUCUCUAUAUAUUUCAAUGUACUUGACAGUCAACUCCAUCCAGGAUUUGUGUAUUUUACUCAACAUUAUAGAAUUGUAGUAUCAGAUACAGAAUAGAUGCUCAGUUGUUAUGAAUGAAUGAAUGAAUGAAUGAGUAGUAUAACAGAGUGAUAAACAGUGUAAUAAAAUGGAAAGGAGCUUUGUAAUUCAAACCAAAUUUAAAAAUUAUAUUUAUAAUGGAUAAGCAAUGAAGUCCUACCUAACAGAGGGAAAUGUAUCCAGUAUCUUAGGAUAGACCAUGAUGGAAAAUAAUAUAAGAAUUAUUAUAUAUAUACACACACACAUUCUCUUUAUAUAUACAUAUACAAACACACACACACACACAAAGUGGCUGGGUCACUUUGCUGUACAUCAGAAAUUGGCACCACAUUGUGAAUCAACUAUACUUUAAUAAAAAUUUAAAAAUAAAACAAACAAAUAAACAAAAAAUGUUUCUUGAGCACUAACUCUGUGCUGGUCAUGGUUCUUGGUAACGGAGACAGCAAUGAGGAAAACAAGCAUGUCUUCAUGAAGCUCCCAUUUGUGACGUGCCCAUAUUUGUUUUUCCUUUCAAAGAUAUUAGCUCUUGAUUUUAGUUGCUAUAAAAUUGUUGUAAACUCGAGUCUGCAGUAGAGAAUCAGAAGGAAUAUAACCUAACUUCAAGUAAGGCAAGUCAAGUGUGUCUGAAAAGGGCACCAGUUAUUUCUUGAAGUCUCUUCCUUAUAAUACUUUCCCCAUGAAAUUUUAGUGAAAUUUUUUUUUUAAAGUCAAAUAAGGAGUUCCCAUCGUGGCUCAGUGGAAACAAAACUGACUAGUAUCCACGAGGAUGCAGGUUAGAUCCCUGGCCCUGCCCAGUGGGUUAAGGAUCUGGUGCUGCCAUGAGCUGUGGUAUAGGUUGCAGAUGUGGCUCGGAUCUGGCCUUGCUGUGGCUGUGGUGUAGGCCGACGGCUACAGUUUUGAUUGGACCCCUAGCCUGGAAACUUCCAUAUGCCGAGGGUGCAGCCUUAAAGAAAAAGAAAAAGUCAAAUAAGUUUAGGAAAGACAAAGAUAAAUAAUAUAUUUGCUACCAGAUUGAUCAGAGCUGCUAGGAUGGCACUGUGCACUCUGAGCCUUCACGUCACAAUAUCCCCAGGGUGUUCUGGGCUGAAUUAUGUCCUGCCCCUAAUCCAUACAUUGGAGUCCUAAUCUCCAGGUCCCCAGAAUGUGACUAUAUUUGGAGACAGGCUCUUUCUAGAGGCGAUUAAAUUAAAACAAGGUCAUAGGGAUGAGUUCUAAUCCAAUUUUACUGGCGUCCUUAUAAGAAGAGUAGACUGGGACACAGACUCACACAGAUAAGACCACAUGAGGACAACACAGGGAAAUGGCCACUGGUAAACCAAGGGGAGACACAACAGAAGAAAGCAACCCACUCCUUGACCUCAAACUUCUGGCCUCUGGAACUCUGAGAACACGUAUUUCUCUUGUUGAAGCAGCUCAGUCUGUACUGUUUGGGUACGCAGCCUUAGGAACUAGAGUAUCUGUCCGUUUUGAAGAACUUACCAAAGGCAGAUACAGGUCUAUGUGUGGUCAUUAGUUAGGAGCUCAAAACAGCUCAGGAAGAUUCAGGGGCAGGUGACUAAUUGAGAGGAAGUUCCCUGAAUGAUAGCAGAAGUGACUCUGUAGUCACUAAUGGUAAAAAGCCAACAACGAGCAGAAUAUAAAGACAUAUUCAGGGGUGGACAUAAAAUUCCACAUAAAAUGCAUGCAUGCACAGGGGCCUUGCUUACUUACUCUGAGGACAAGGGUUUUAAAUUAAGGAAAGAAGACCAUACCCAGCUGAAGCGGUGCCAUGGAUCCUGAGAUACCCAAAGAUGGUGCUACACCAUGAUCCAACAAGUGGCUUUCUCUCUUUAGCUGCUGAGAUUGAGAUGAAGGACUGAUGGAAAUUGGGGGGAAAAAUGGGGACUUACAAGAUCAGUCUUUAUUUGGUAACACAGCACUUAAUAUGUUAUGAUAUGCUCUGCCCUGUUAAUUGCCUUUUAUUUUCAUAAUCUCUUGAGACGGAACUGCCAGCAGAAUUCUGAGAAGGUAUGCAUGCAUGCAUGGUAUGAAAGGGGAUGAGUAAUGCAUCAUCAGAAGCUACAUCCCCUGAAAAUAAUUCAUGGGAGAAUUUGCAGAAAGGAGCACCAAUACUGGUAUAACUUAAAAAAAAAAUAUAUGCACAGGAAUUCCCAUUGUGGUGCAGCAGAAAUGAAACUGAAACUGACUAGUAUCUAUGAGGUUGUGGGUUUGAUCCCUGGCCUUGCUCAGUGAGUUAAGGAUCUGACAUUGCUGUGAGCUACGGUGUAGUUUGCAGGGGUGGCUUGGAUGUGGCGUUGCUACGACUGUGGCUGUGGCUGGCAACUGUAGCUCUGAUUCGACCCCUAGCCUGGGAAUUUCCAUAUGCUAUGGGUGCAGCCC